AUUUCGGCCGUGCUUUGGAAAGCAGAGCUAGAUGGUAAACAAACAUGGCAGCACACCAGUAAGGAAAUGGCUCAUGACUGCAGAGAAGAUGUGCAGCAUACUAAGACCCUGUACCCCCCACCACAACAAGCCUGCUGGCGUCCUCACCUCAGGUCACCCAGGACCUUCUGUGAGCGGAGCUGAGCAGUGAUGUAGAGCGCUGCUGCCGAGGCCAACAGCUCCCUGCGUGUGUCUACAUUCAGCUGGUGACCCUUGAAGCCAUCGGGAUAAACCUCCGGCAGGAAGUUGGUGCUGAUAUCACCAGAGAUAAAGCGGGGGUGGGUGAUGAUUUCCCUCAGGAGGGGGAUGUUGUGCAUCACACCUGGAGAGUAGAUUACCAAACUUUACCACAGGAAGUAAAAUAAGCUGAUGUCCAUUUAAAAAGUGACUGUGCGUCUUGGCUGACAUUCACUUUGAAAAUCUGUGUACCUCUGAUAACAUAGUUAUCCAGCGCGUCCUCCAUUCUGGCAAGAGCCUCUGCUCGCGUAGCUCCAUAGGUAACCAACUACAAUUACACACCAGAGGAAAUGACCGCAGAGCCACAAACCCGUGUGGAAUUGUGAAAUUUUGUAAUCUACUUUUUUUUUUGUUGUGACCAUCUGUUCUUAUCAAUAAUGAGAACCACACAAAACCAUCAUAUAUUCAAUACAUCACUGACCUUAGAGAUCAUGGGAUCAUAGUAGAUGCUGAUGUCACUUCCCUCCUGAAUGCCGCUGUCCACACGGACCUGACAGAGCGAGGAGCAGAGAACAAAAUGAUCAUACUGGCAGGACACUUACCAGUCACUCAGGGAGACCAACUGGAAUGUGUAAAAAGAGAAUAUCUUAGAAAAACAAAUCAGGUGAAACAACAAACAACACAAAUGCUCUCCUCUGUUGCAGCUCAAAUGUGCGAUGUAGGUUGUGUUUGUUUGUUACAUAAACAUCCUGCCUGAUGAAGCUUUAAAGGAUAACUUAAGCAUUUUUCAACUUGGACUCUAUUUCCCCAUCUGAAUUGAUCAAAGACACUGAUGUGAACAACAAUUUUUGAAAUUUGGUCAGUAUUGAGCGUGCUGGCAGCUGCGGGAGCUGCAUUGGAGGCACAUGGGGCAAUAAAACAUUGUCACUGUAUGUCCAUUAAAAGUGGUUAUUUUUGAACCAGA
Epinephelus fuscoguttatus (brown-marbled grouper) is the source of this 1180-nucleotide long non-coding RNA. RefSeq lists it as uncharacterized. The transcript has 2 exons. The record is from RefSeq and is a predicted model, not a curated record. Lineage: Eukaryota; Metazoa; Chordata; Actinopteri; Perciformes; Serranidae.